CCUAGACAGAUGUCUGCUCCAUGGUUUAAAAGAGUAUGUGAUACCAUCCACAUUUUUCACAGCUAAACCCUUGAAAACUGGGAGGCAGACAAAGGAACCCAAACGUGAAGAGCAUUCAUUAAAAGAUGUAAAUAGCCAAGAUCCAUGCUGUUUUGUUUCAAUCUUCUUUAUACGGUUGAAAACAGGAAAGCCUCCUGUCACGCAGACUCCAGGAUUCUCAGGGCCCAAUAAAGAUAAAGCAAGCAGUAUAUGA
RNAcentral lists this long non-coding RNA (253 nucleotides) under Chinchilla lanigera (long-tailed chinchilla). Its description in RNAcentral is "lncRNA (ENSCLAG00000023206.1)". The record is from RNAcentral. Lineage: Eukaryota; Metazoa; Chordata; Mammalia; Rodentia; Chinchillidae.